UAACGAAUAUUCCGCAAUGGGCGAAAGCCUGACGGAGCAAUGCCGCGUGUGGGAUGAAGCGGUUUCGCCGUGUAAACCACUGUCAGGAGAUAGAAAAGCUGAUCAUCUCCAGAGGAAGGGGCGACUAACUCUGUGCCAGCAGUCGCGGUAAUACAGAGGCCCCAAGCGUUAGUCGGAAUCACUGGGCUUAAAGGGUGCGUAGGCGGAUGUGUAAGUGUCUUGUGAAAGCCCCGGGCUCAACCCGGGAACCGCAGGGCAUACUGCAUGUCUUGAGGAAACUAGAGGCCGGUAGAACGAUCGGUGGAGCGGUGGAAUGCGUAGAGAUCGAUCGGAAUGCCAAUGGUGAAGACAGCCGGCUGGGGUUUUCCUGACGCUGAGGCACGAAAGCGUGGGGAUCAAA
RNAcentral lists this ribosomal RNA (400 nucleotides) under uncultured bacterium. Its description in RNAcentral is "bacterial SSU rRNA". It matches the Rfam family "Bacterial small subunit ribosomal RNA", at positions 355 to 772 of the family's 1533-position model. The record is from RNAcentral.